AAUCAGGCACGCAGCUGGAGCGGACAGGACGGCUUCCGGGAUUUGGCGGGGCCUUUGUCUCUGGCUGCAGCCGGAGCUCCUGCUCUCCUCCUCACUGCUCAGUGUCCUCUGCUCCUAGAGGCCCAGCCUCUGUGUCCCUGUGACCUGCAGAUAUUGGGAGAUCCACAGCUAAGACGCCGGGACUCCCUGGAAACCUAGAAAUGAUGGAGUCUCGCUCUGUUGCUCAGGCUGAAGGGCAGUGGUGCGAUCUCGGCUCACUGAAACCUCCGCCUUCCGGGCUCAAGCAAUUCUCCUGCCUCAACCUCGCAAGUAGCUGGGAUUACAGGCAUGCACCACCAUGCCCAGACUGUGCCAUAACACACAUUUGAUGCUGAAAUCCGGGAUAGGGGAACUCCUUUGGGAGUCGUGUCCCUUAACCCCUUCCCCCGACUUCUUGAAGAGACCCACCCGCGACCUCGGUACCUCGGACCAGCUCUGUAAAAGCCCCGCCUCUGCCUUCGGAUAGAUACCCAGCCAUAUGAGGACACUCUGGCCAGACAGCCCAUCCUGAUAAAGAGCUUAACCCCCUGAUCUCUACAACCUCAGUGGACAGGACCCUUCCUGGUCGUUUAUGGUACCCCAAUGGCUGUCUGCUUACAAGAUCCUCCUCAGUGGAUUCACCCUUCCAGAGUAAAGCUGUGUCCAUCUGACACUCAGCCUGACCCUUCUUCCUCCUCUUGGAAGUCGCAAGUACUCUCCCCGACCUCGUUAAAACUCACCGAAAUCCCUGAAGAAACUUAAAUGUCCUGCUCCUGUCCGCCCUGCUUCUUCACCCUCUUCCUCCACUCUAUUUGCCAAGACAUCUCCUGGUUUCAUCCCCAAACUCCCACCUUAGAUUCUCUCUUAAACUGGAUAGAUGAUCUCAUCUUUUAGGGCACUCUGUAUAACUUCUUCCCAGAUGAGACGCCUCUGUUUACCUUCCUACUCACUCUUUAUCUAUCCCUCCUGCUCCUUUGGCUACCUGGCAUGGCCGCACUCCCACUUCCAGUAAUGCCUAAUUACCUCUACAAAACUCUCAACCCACUCUCUGUUAAACCAGUCCAACCCUUCUUUGGCAAAGGACGCUGGCUUUGCAUUUCUCUAUCAGCUACCACUUACGUUGCCACUCUCAUUCCCACAAAAAACUGGGUAGUUACUAGCUUAACCUACCACCCUCGUAAUGAAGGAAAAAGCCCCUUCUAACUCCUACAUAUGCAGUCAUUGGCCAACUUCUCCAUCAAUGAAAUGACCGAAAAUACCCUGACAGGUCGUGCAGUUCAACUUUUACGCUCCUACAUGUCCAGCCUCACCCAUUACACAAGUAAUGAAAAGCCCAUACACGGCCCUGUGACUACAAACGCUGUCUUAACUUUCCAAGCCCCUUUAUGCAUCCAACACAACCUGUCAUCAGGCCUACCUCUAGGUCACCUACUGUUCCAUCAGUGCAACUACGCCUUGCAGCUUCAAGCCCCAACUGACUGUAUUAACUUCCAGGUCUCCCAAACAGCUACAUUCAAACAGCCUGUCCGCUUCUCAAAGCCCCCAGAAGUCAUCAGCACCUCUCUGCUUAACAAACAAUCCGGGUUUUGUAAUGGCAGGCAUACGCACUGCAUGACCAUUCACCCCUGGACCUCCUGCAGCAGCACUCCCACCACUGACGAAUGCCUCCUUAUCCCCUCUUUCGAUUACCCUUCUGAGUGGCUCCUAGUAGAUACAAAAUGAUUUUUCCUCCAAUGGGAAAAUAAAACACAGGGAGCCACUCAGCUUAUCCCAAACAUCCCUUUUCAGCCGCUCACUGGGGCCGCCUUGGCAAGUACCCUAGGGGUGUGGGAAAAUGAAAACAAAUUCACACACCUUUUUAACAUACACAGCCAGUUCUGCCUACCCAGCCAAGGCAUAUUCUUCUUGUGUGGAACUUCAACCUAUGUCUGCCUCACCACUAACUGGACAAGCACCUGUACCCUAAUCUUCCUAAGCCCCAAAAUUGACAUUGCCCCUGGAAACCAAACCUUACCAGUCCCUGUCAGAGCCCAAGUCCAUCAGCAUAGGGCUGUGCAGAUAAUACCCUUGCUUAUAGGACUAGGAGUUACCAAUGCCACAGGAACUGGAAUAGCAGGUUUGUCCCCUUCCCUGUCCUACUAUCAUACACUCUCAAAGGAUCUCUCAGACAGCCUACAAGACAUAGCAAAAUCCACCCUUACUCUCCAAUCCCAAAUAGACUCCUUAGCAGCAGUAACUCUGCAGAACCACCGUGGCUUAGACCUCCUAACCGUCGAAAAAGGUGGGCUAUGCACCUUUUUAGGGGAAGAUUGUUUUUCCACCAACCAGUCUGGACUAGUACGAGAUGCUGCCUCGCAGUUAAAUGAAAAGGCUUCUAAAAUCAGACAAUGUCUUUCAGACUUUUAACACCAAUCUUUGGAGCUGGGCGUUGUGGCUUCUCCCUAUAGCUGGGCCCCUCAUUUCCAUCAUUCUCCUUCUCCUAUUUGGACCCUGCCUCUUCCGUCUAGCCUCUCAGUUCCUACAAAAUCUCAUUCAAGCUAUUACCAAUCAAUCUAUGCGACAAAUGCUACUCCUAACUGCCCCUCAAUGUCACCCCCACCCCAAGAUCUCUCUCCCAAUUAGGAGUCCAUGCCGCCCCAAGUCCCGCUCGAAGAAUCCCUGAGAAACAUCACCCCGUCCACUUCUUUUCUUAUUAAAACAAAAAGACAGGAAUGUCAUAUCCCACAAAUAUGGCUGCAUUAUUGCCAGCAGGCCAUUAUUGACGGUGGGCCAUUAAGAACUCUGUGACCAGCACAUAUGCCUCCAGACUUCCUGGAACCAGAAAACCUGCAACAACCAAAAACCACAAAAGAAGAACAACGGGUUUCUGUUCCAACUGGUUGAUCAACUUCUUGAGUCAACAAGUCCCAAAACCAUGUUGUAAUUUUCCACCCGCCACUUUGCCCUGUAAAGACUGCUCUCCCUCACACCUCCGGGCUGACUCCCUUUUCCGAUUCAGCCCACUAACACCCAAGUGAAUAAACGGCCUUGUUGCUCACACAAAGUCUGCUUGGGUCUUCAAUCCAGACCACGCUGUAACACACACUUACAAAAUUCUGCUGAGAAUAUGCCCCCCGUUAUUCAUAAUGCUCAUGUUUUUCAUACUGAGGGUAGCUGUGCACUUUGGGUUUUUACAGAGAAAUGUGUUUUAGGGGAAGUUUUUCUGGCUGACUUGUUCAAUCAUAUCUAAUCUGAGUUUUUUUCUUAAGAUGCUUUUCUUUUUUUUUCCCUCUCAAUAUAAUCAUUUUCAGAGUGAGCUGUUUUUCUCUUGAAUGCAUUGGGUGUCUGUUUUGGAAGCCCUAUUACUAUCCCAUGGUGUCUGUUAAUGAGGUGGGCUGUCAUAGUGAGAACUCUUGGAGCUAUCUCUAUAUGGACUCAUGCUGGAAAUCCAGCAGAGUGAUUUCCAUGUCACCAUUACAAAUAAAAAACUGAGGCUUAAACACUGCACCCAUUCCCAUUAUUGUGAAGGUGCAAUUCUACCCAGGAGGCCUGCAGGCUCUCCUCCUGCAACUCAGGCUUCAUUCUCUGAUGUGGCAUUGAAGUGCUGCUGUGGCAGUUGGGGUUAUAUAUAGGGUGCCAGGUGUGAGCUGUGUGCUGGGGGCUCUGCCUCAGUGGCAGAUGGUAGGAGUCAAGAGAGGACACAAGCUACCAGGAGACGGCAAGCAGGAGGCACCUGGCUUUAAGUUGCAAAAUUACCUUUUGUCAUGAAGAUGUGAAAAGUGUAUUUUGUCAUUGAUUAUAACCAAUUAGCAUAUAUGGAUGACCUCCCAAAUUACCAGGUGAAUUUAUGAUGAACUAUGUAUGACAUGUGCUGUAAAUUUUUCUACUUGUGGACUAAUUAUUGUGACCGUCUUUCUGUCUUUGCAAUCUCUUAAGCAGAUUGACUGUGAUGCAUGUCACAUUCUGGUUGAAUUGUGUAAUAAAACAGCUUUCUUUCUGUUCUA
This 4001-nucleotide long non-coding RNA is filed under the name Homo sapiens (human). RNAcentral's name for it is "long non-coding RNA NONHSAT212183.1". Lineage: Eukaryota; Metazoa; Chordata; Mammalia; Primates; Hominidae. The record is from RNAcentral.